GACGAACCGUGCGAACGUUGUUCGGAAUCACUGGGCUUAAAGGGCGCGUAGGCGGCUUGCCAAGUCCGGGGUGAAAUCCUGCAGCUCAACUGUAGAAGUGCCUGGGAUACUGGCGAGCUUGAGGGAGGUAGGGGUGGGUGGAACUUCUGGUGGAGCGGUGAAAUGCGUUGAUAUCAGAAGGAACGCCGGUGGCGAAAGCGACCCACUGGAUCUCUACUGACGCUGAGGCGCGAAAGCUAGGGGAGCAAACG
RNAcentral lists this ribosomal RNA (251 nucleotides) under uncultured prokaryote. RNAcentral's name for it is "partial 16S ribosomal RNA". It matches the Rfam family "Bacterial small subunit ribosomal RNA", at positions 524 to 774 of the family's 1533-position model. The record is from RNAcentral.